This 281-nucleotide ribosomal RNA is filed under the name Ctenophora environmental sample. Its description in RNAcentral is "partial Bacterial large subunit ribosomal RNA". It matches the Rfam family "Bacterial large subunit ribosomal RNA", at positions 1694 to 1954 of the family's 2925-position model. Lineage: Eukaryota; Metazoa; Ctenophora. The record is from RNAcentral.
GAGAACUCUGGUUAAGGAACUCGGCAAAAAUUCACCGUAACUUCGGGAGAAGGGGUGCUUUGGUUUGUGAAGCCUUUACGGUCUAAGCAAACUGAAGCCGCAGUGAAAAGAUCCAGGCGACUGUUUAGCAAAAACAUAGGUCUCUGCUAAGUCGUAAGACGAUGUAUAGGGACUGAUGCCUGCCCAAUGCCAAAAGGUUAAGGUUAGGGGUCAUCGAUUUCGGUCGAGAAGCUCUGAUCCGAAGCCCUGGUGAAUGGCGGCCGUAACUAUAACGGUCCUAA